Ictidomys tridecemlineatus (thirteen-lined ground squirrel) is the source of this 8517-nucleotide long non-coding RNA. RefSeq lists it as uncharacterized. The record is from RefSeq and is a predicted model, not a curated record. Lineage: Eukaryota; Metazoa; Chordata; Mammalia; Rodentia; Sciuridae.
CUUGCUGGGGGUGGAGGUAGUCUGAAAGCGUAAGUGGCAAGCAAGAAAGGGAACCGGGAAUCAGCCCGGGAGCCCUCCUCCUUUUUGAGGACCACCCUCCUCUACUAAGACGCAUCAUUUAUCUUCCCCUCCCAGCGUGAGCUCUGGCAGGAGGUGGUGGCCUGGUUUCCCAGGCCCUGCUCCCAGGGCCUCCCAGCCUGUCUCCCAGGAGAUGCCCUUCUCAGCCGCAGGCCAGAGCCUGCCCAGCCUGCCUGGGGACCGACUCCAACACAGGCCUGGGAUGGUGCCUCUGCGAGUGAUCCCGCUGAGGGGUGGUGUUGCCUGCCUGUGCAUGAUUGCAUACUCCUGUGUAUAUCAGGAUUGUAUGAAGUCCACAUUGUUUUCUUCAUUUCAAGAACACAAGCUUUGGACUCUCGCAGAGCUGGGUCUGAAGCCUGACUCUAUUGGCCCACAGCCAUGUGACCUCAGGAAAAUUGCUUGCUGAAUUCCUUGAGCUCCCAUCUCCUCAUCCAUGAAAUGGGGUUUUUGGGAAGAGUAAAUGGGACAAUCCAGGCAACACCCCAGCAUUCCGGGCCUGAGACUGGGGAAACACUACUGCUGAGCCACCAAGCACUUCAAAGUUUACAAAACACCAGGACCCCUCAUGCUCCUCUGGGAAAGUUGGGGGCAGAGAGCAAGCAUUAUUGUUAUCAUUUUGUGCACCUGUCCCUCCAACCAUCAACAUAGCACCCAUCCAAUGACCAGCGACCCUGAGACAAGAGGACGGGGCCCCGAGCUGGAGUGAGGUAGGAAACUUACUGGCCUCCAGAAGUUUUCUGGCCUGGAGGGACUGGAGAAUGUAUCUCAUGCCAGAGGAUUGUUGCCUGACAGGACUGGAAGCCCAGUGAGACCGGAUCUUCUGAUUUUUUGAGAAAAGCUGGAAAUGUAGAUUUUUUUUUAAAAUGUCCUGAUCUUUUAUCUCUUAGAUGUUUGCAACCAACUUGACUAAAACAAACAAACUCCUGUGCUGGCUGCAUCCUGCCCAUGGAAUGUUUGAACCCUCUGGGAAUGAGGCUCAAGGUCAGGGGCAGAGCUGGGAUUCAGAGCUGGGAGUCCUGAGUCAGUGCCCCCUCACCAGGUCUGGAACAUGCAGAAUUGAUAGAUGUAGGUCAUUAAUUAUACAGUAAGGUCGACCUCCUGAGAAGCCACAUGGAGACCCCCAGGGACACUGCUUUAUUGGUGGAAGCCCAAGGAAAGAGGAGGAUGGAAUUUAGGACAGGCAGCCCCAUUCUCUGCCUGCUGAAGCCAUGCUGAGAAAUGAGAUGCCAAUGCCACCUAUGCUUCUUGUCUGCACACCUGUGCUGGUGUUUGCAGAGUUCCCAGGAGCAGGCUGGGGACCACCACAGGGAAUUACAGGAAUUCCUCCUUCCUUUCCCCUGGGAAUCUCUGACCACCAUGUGUGUGUGUCUAGGAGUCAGGUGAUCUCCAUGACCAGGGCAGGGUUGGAUCAGAGCCUAUAGACACCGUGGGACAACAACCUGGUUCAAUCCUCCAGUGGUAUGAAUAAGACUGGGGCCAGUUGCAUUUGGUCUCUGGGCCUCAGCUUUCCCAUCAUGUGGUAAGGUUGAUGUCCCAGCAAUAGAGAGGGAAAUGGCAGCCCAUGUCUCUGCCCAGACUGACACAGUAGACUCUACUCCUGGAAAGGGGGUCUUUGGUGGCCUGGGACAAGGGCUGAGUCCAUCCUCCAGCAGGGAAGAAUUCUAGAAGACAACUUGCCCAACUGCUUCCCUCCACGGGUGCCAACAAACAUUCAGUUGCCUCUAAUGCCUGUCCUGGGAGGCCACUUGAAUGCCCCUUGGCCAGUCCGUUCCUUUGCUGAGCUGCUGUGAUGAUCACAAACUUCUGUGUUGGGCAGAAACAUGAUUCCUGAUGGCUGAUGCCUGGCCGAGCCUGCACAUGUCUUCGGCUUGGCCUCCUUAUGGAAGGUAGCACCGUGGGAGUAAAAAUGUUCACCUCACUGUGAGGACUGAAUACAUAUAAACAUCCGUUGCACACCUGGCCCAUAGGUGUUGACCAGUGCCAGUCGCCUUCUCCUGGGGGACUGAACACCCCAAGCCCAGCCCUGGCCUUAGAUGAACUUCCCCGCAGGGUUCACUUGCCUCUUCCACACUUGCAUGAUCAGUGCUGAAUGGCAAAUGCUGGCUCCUGCCAUUAAUAGCAAGUGUUGACGGAGUCCUGACAGGCAGAGCUGGGCUGGGUCCCCUGCUCCCCAACCCCUGGGGUGGCCAUUUGGGAUGAAGCUUCCCAUGCAAAUGGCUGGCCUAGGGGCUGGUCAGGAAGAACCCCAUCUGAGAGGCUGCUCAGCCCUGCCCCACUCCUAAGGCCACUCACUGCCCACCAGCCUCCUGCUUACUCUCCUGAUUUUACCAUGGACACCCCUUUCCCUGCAUUGCUCAGGUGCCCACUCUUCCUUACCUGACUCAUUGCACAGCUGCCUUGCUAGUUUCUCUGUCCCUGUAGUCUUCCUCUACUCAGCCAGCUGGAUUGUCCUAAACUCAUAUAUGAGCUUGUCGCUUCCAGUUUAACACCCUGCAGUGGCCACCUGUCAUCCUCUAAGCUUUGGUCUGGCAUUCCUGAACCCUUAGUUUGUGCCUUGCUAUCCUCCCUUGACCCACCUCCUGAGGACCUCACACUGUGACUCCAACUUUCUGCACUCUUCCUUGCUAUCACAAUCUUCCACCCCUGAGUCUUUGCAUAUGCUGUGUAUCCUUCCUUCUGUUCAUCCCCUGUUUAACAUUUGAGGCCCGGAGUGCCAGGCCCUGCUCCACAUGCAGAGACACAAAAGUAAACAAGAUGACAAAGACCUUCCACCUUAGGGCUUGCAUUUCAGUGGGGGAGACAUAAAAUCAACUAAUCAGUAAAUUAAAGUAUGUCCGAUAGUGUUGAGGACAUGCUCAAAACAAAUCAAGGAGGAGGCUGGAAUUCUAAGCAGGGCAGCUGGGUGCACCUGGGUGUCAAGGGGCUGAAUCUGGGACACUCUAUCUGGACUUCCUGAAGGAGGUGUCUAUUAUCUCCGUGAAGGACGGGUAGAGGGUAGUUACUACACAGGGUGUAAGUAAGUGUCUCAGUAACAGAUUCCUCAUGGAGGCUGGAAGGUCAUCCAGUCCUGACCCAUUGGACACUAGCUGGGGUUUUGCAGGAAACAGCCUCACCCUAAGACUGAGCCUUGAACACAGACUGCUGGCCCAAGCACCUCACCACCAGGAACCCCUUGCCUCCAACAAGGCCCCCUUCACUUGAAUCAGGCCCUGCUGGGUGAGGCAGGUGGCGGGUCACUGUGUCUGGAGCCAUUCAGAGAGAACACACCAGGCAGGAGUAUGGCCAAGCAAAGGCCUGGGGGCCGGACCUAUGAGGAGGUGGGAGGACUUGGAGGAUGCUGGCCUAGGCUUUCCCUGGUGCUCCCCUGUCAGCUCUGGCCAGGGAAUGUGGUUUGUGGCCAACUUGUCACAGCCCACUCUGACUUUAUUUCUGAACUUAAUUUAUCCCAUGCGUCAUACUGACAACUCAGAAUUCUGCCCCAGGGCCCCUUGCCUGGCUCCACCAUAAUAGUACACUGCCUGUGCUUAGGUGAACUGGGCCCUGAGGUGCGUCUCAGCUGCCGAUUUGUGCUUGCAGCUUCUGGGGACAAGGUGGUUCAGCUGCUAUUUGCAGGAGGUCACUGGAGCUUGGGAAUUUGACCUAGAGUAGUUCCUUGUCCUUGGGUUCAGAGCAAGUGCACGGUUCCCAUUUUCCAGAUAUGGAAGGAGAGGUCCAAGGUUGAGUCUGUGGAAAACCCAGAACUACUGGGUCUCAGCUGGGGCCCUUUCCCACAUUUUACCCAGCUCUGGAUUUUGUCCACAGCCUCUUAACCAAGAGAAGAUGUUCCGUACUCCCCAGCAGUGUGAAAAGCGUCAGGAAUGUGGUCCCCUUAGGUCCUAAAGCCUGAUGUGAAAGUAGAUUUUCACUUAGAGAUAUGCAUAUUGGGGGCUGGGGGAGAGUGGUUGUCCUUGUCCUCAUUGAGUCCCUGGCAGGCACUCCAUGAUGGGCACAAACUCCCUCUCAGUUCCUGUGAUUGUCAGAUUCUCGUUCCUGUGACCAAAACUCCUGACAAUAACAACUUAAAGGAGGAAAGAUUUAUUUUGGCUCAUGGUUUCAAAGUUUUCAAAGCUUCAAGGUCUCUGGUUCCAUUGCUGUGGGUCCGACAUGAGGCAGAACAUCAUGGUGGAAAGGUGCUUUGGGAGAAAGCUCUCAGCUCCUGGCAGCAGGGAAGGGGAGAGAGACAGACAGACAGAGAGACAGACACAGAGAGAAAGAUAAAGUUCCCCAGGGCACACCUCUACCCAUGCCCCAUCUGCCUACAGUUUCCACCUCCCAGUAGUCCACUCAGCUACCCAUGGAAUCCACUAAUGAGGUCAGAGCCCUCAUGAUCCAAUCACUCCCAGAAGUCCCACAUCUAAACACUGCUGCACCGAGAACCAAGCCUUCGUCACAUGAGCCUUUGUGGGGCAUUCCAUAUCCAACAACAGUUCCUCAGGGAGUCACAUUACUGUGUGAAAUAAACAUGAAUCUAGUUUCAGAGGGACACACAAAAGAAAUCACAUCUGUGGAAAAAUUCUUGGGAAAUACAACCAAAUGCAGCCACCUCUCCGGAGCAAAGACUGAGUUCUUCAUUGUAGUGGGCAGGCCAUCAGAGGCUACAACAGCCCAGGUGACAGCACCACGUGUAGGGUCUGAAUCUGACUAGGCCACUGAUUCAUUCAUUCAUCUGUUUGUUCCACAAUCACCCAUUUAGCUCAUGCUAGUGUUGGGCUCUGGGCCAGGCAGGGGUGUAGUGCUGAGUAAAGAGAGUGUCCCUGUCAUCGUGGAGGUUCUGGACCCGUGUAGACACAGCGUUGUGGAUUGAAGUACUUUGAAGAAAAAUGAAGUAGAGUGGGGUUACUGAGGCUAGAUGGUCAGCAAAGACUUUCUGAGAGGGGAUCUGUGAGCAGAGGCCCAAGUGGAGGGAGGGAGCCCAAGAAUAUGCAGGAAGAGUUUCCAGGCACAGGAAGCAGCCAGUGCAAAGCCCCACGUCAGUACAUUGGUCACCUCCACCUGGGAUGAGGAACCCCUGCUCUCCCCACCUUGACCCCUGAAACCCUAUCACCAGAGGGAACAGAGCGUGGGCAGCUUGAAGCCUGUUGAAAAGAUCUACAGCUCUCCACGGAGCCCCCUUCUGCUUCGAGGCUUGAUUUUCCUAGUGUGUGUCACUCACGCCACCAGGGGUGAACAGGGAGGUUUGAUGAGGGUUGCAGAUAAACAUCUCCUUAUUUUCACAGUAAUGCAUUCAUUUUUAAAUGAAUUUAUUGCAAAAAAAAAUAAAAAAUAACAUGCACACCAAACCUGGUAUUAUUGUCAAGGACACGUGGGGAAAAGGCUUUGUUUAUUUCAAUUCAAAUAGAAUAUACACACAUACAGAAGGUCGGCCAUUGUUGAACCUUGGAGGAGGCUAUCUGUAGGGUAGCUUCAUUUUUAUAUGCUUUCAAUUUUUCUACAUAAUUAAGACGUUUCAGGGUAUGAAGUUGGUUGGGGAAAAUAAAAAUUGAGGAGAUGCCCCCUUGAAUCAAUUGAUUUUCCCCCUUGACUGUCUUUUCUUUUUUAAGAAAAUUAAAAAUGGUUCCUUCUUUUUUCUGCUCUUGGUAGUAGAGCACAGUGGUUAAAGGUGCACCCUUUGGAGCCUGAUAAUCAUGUAUGGCUCCUGGCUGAGCCUUGAACCACGUCCCUAACCUGUUUCAAUUUCUUCAUCUAAAACCUGGAGAUGAUGACAGUACCCACUACACUGGCAGGUUGUGGGGAGACACGGGGAAGUCAUCAGAAUGGUGCCCAUACAAGGCAGGUGCUCCACAAUUCAGACUGUGCUGUGAUUGGCCCAUCCUUGGAGAACUGGCAGCAGGGUCAUGGAUUUGGGCCAUGGCAGAAAACCACAUGGCAGCCACGGAAGGCUUUGCACUGUGAAGGGGCUUGCCUCCUGCCUCUUUACCUACACACACACACACACACACACACACAUACACACACACACCAGGCAACUCUACAAAGACUGCAUUUUAGUUAAUCAAUCAGAUUUAUUACUACCUGUAUUGAGCUGUUCAUUUUUUAUUUCAAUUUUUAAAAUUUAAUAACAUCGUUUUGUUUUCACUGUUCAUUUUUAAGAUUAAAGUCCAUUUGAGGUAAGUCAUGCUGAUUUUCCAUUUGCAGAAAUAACAAAACACUUUCUUUAAAAAACAAGGUCUAAGAAGCAAGCGGAUCUCUGAAAUAUCUUUGCCAUGUUUCUGUAAAUCUAAAACUAUUCUAAGACAGAAAGUUUAUUUAAAAAAAAAAAGAAACCUAGGCUCAUUUUUUUUAAAAGUGUGAAUAGAAAAAGAGAAGGAAAAAAAAAGCAAGUUGAUUGAGGGGCAAGUAUCAAAUAUAUACUGACUGUGCUCAGUGGCAGGCAUGAAUGGGGGAAAACUGCUUUUCGGGGACUGUGGUGGAGCGUGUUCACAGGAUACCUUGGGAGGCAGGAAAGGAGCAGGAGGAAUUAGAGGUGACAUAUCCCUCCUUUUAUGGCGGGUACCAGGGGUUGAACUCGGGCACUUGACUUCUGAGCCACAUCCCCAGUCCUAUUUUUUUGUAUUUUAUUAGAGGCAGGAUUUCACUGAGUCGCUUAGCGCCUUGCUUUUUGCUGAGGCUGGCUUUGAACUUGUAAUCCUCCUGUCUCAGCCUCCCCAGCCACUGGGAUUACAGGUGUGCACCACUGUGUCCGGAGACUUACCCCUUUGAGGGUGGGAACAGCCUUGUGGGGUUCAAUGACAGGCAGAGGAAUAGUGGAACAAACUGCCAGACUAGCAGCAAGCGGAAGCUUCACCUGCAGGCGGGGGGUGCUGGACCCUAGGCAGCCAGGCUGGAGCCAGGGACAAACCCCCAGCCUCCCCUCCCUCUGAGUCCUGCUGCUGCCCCAACUGCAGCACCAUCCAGAAGCCAGCAGCCAAGGAGCUCAUGUGAUGCAGUCCCUGGAGCACAGAGAAGGACAGGGUGUUGCAGAGGCAACAGCAACUUCUGCGGGUGGUUCUCUGCAGAAGCUCAGCAUAUUUGUGGGAGGAGCCUGGAAGUGCAGGUGUCCACAUGCGCAUGUGCAUACACCCCCCCUCCCCCUGUGACACACACACACACACACACACACACACACACACACACACACACACACACACACACACACACAUACACACACACACCCCUCCCCGCCUCUCCAUGUGAAAUGCCUACCGUGCAGUAUGCCACUUUCUCUCCUGAGCCUCAGUUUCCUCAUCUGCCCCCUGGGGCAGCCAGGGUUCCCUCUUGGGUGGGCAGAGCAGCUGAAGAGACUCCAGCAGGCUUUGUGAGCCCUGGGUACACAAUAGGCUUUAGUGUCAGACAGUACCCUCUGUCCUUUCCGAUAAAGGACAGAGGCCCUUCCGACUCCUCAUGGCCAUCUUGGGCUGUCACCUUCCACCGCCUCUCUCCUCAGCCACUUUGGGGGCAGUAAUGCCCCAGCACUCGUGGUUCUAUCACCAGAUUGCCCCCACCCGGCCUCCUGCUUGGGAUUAUAGGUGGCUCCUUGCCGUCUCAAAUCGCAGCUGCCUCUUCAAGGUACAGAUAGUAGCCAAGGUCCAGGGAGGGGAGCCACUAGUCCCAAGCCCUACAAGUGAGCUGUCACUCAGUGGGACUGACCUGGGCCUGGUUGGCCAGGGUGUUGGCACAGAGGCCUUUUCUCUGGAAACUGGCCUGAUUUUCAGCCCUGAAGGCCCCCCAGGAGGUGAGAGAAUCCUGGUCAAGGCUUCUCGUUGUCUAUAAUUUUCCAGCCUAAUUGAACACCUGCAAAUCCAUUUGCUACCUAAUGAUACAGUGGGAGCACCAGGGGAUUUUCAGAGGGAAAAAAAAAAUCAUUCAAAUUCAAGGAAUGAAUAACAAAGCCCCGCAACACAGCCAGGCCUCUGGGAGUUCUAGGAUUUCAGCUCCCAUCUAGCUUUAUCGGGUCACGCCCACUCUGUCUCCUCAUCUGUAUAAAGGAUUAAUGGUUCCUCUCUGCUCUCCCCAUCCUGCCAGGCCAGAAGAUGAGAAAACGCCUGGUCUCUGCCAUUCUUCUCUCUCUCCUCAUCUUCUUACAACCCCACCAUGCUCCAGCCACAUUGAACUUCAUGUCACUCCCAAAUACUUCACAUAAGAUGGGGAAGGUGCAGCAAUUAGAUUGUGCUGUGUAAUAAACUACCUCCCCAACAUAGAUGUUCGUUUAGAACAAUAAGCAUUUACAGGCUAGUGGGGCAGCUCUUAUCCCCCUGUGUUUAUUGGUGCACCUGAGUCAGGACUUCCCUUUUGUGCCUGAUUGAUUACAAAAUUGAUUGUAAUCAGGUGUGGUGGCUCACGCCUGUAAUCCCAGUGACUCAGGAGGCUAAGGCAGGAGGAUAGCAAGUUGGAGGCCAGCCUCACAACUUAGUGAGACUCUAU